This 4087-nucleotide long non-coding RNA is filed under the name Olea europaea subsp. europaea. The record is from RNAcentral. Lineage: Eukaryota; Viridiplantae; Streptophyta; Magnoliopsida; Lamiales; Oleaceae.
CAUAAACCAUCUUAAAAAUCAUAACAAAAAAUUUAAAGUCUUAACUUGAAAUUAAAAACGUAAAAUAGAUUAAUAAAGUAGCAAUAAUAAGUUCAAAAUUAGCAGUCACAUAAAAAAUUGUAAUCCUACCAUGAGUAGAAAUGGUCUACAAGUAUUCUCUUAUCUUCUCAUUGUAUGUCAUCAUCCUCAACUUGUAAUGGUGCCUUUUCUUUCCCUUCCAUCUAAAGGUAAAAAGUAGAGAACAUAAAAAAUGAUGAAACUUUAUAGGUUAUAAAACAAAUAGCCAAAAAACUAAAGCCAGUAUACAAUUUCAAAAAAGGCAAGACAAAUGAGCGCAUGUCUCAACUGCCAUUAGGCUUAGCCUCGAGGCGGGAAGUUGGGCGCAAGCCUCAGAAAUGCGGCAUAAUCCUUGACAGAUGCGUUCAUGACGUAAGCUUCGAGGCAUUUAAUGAAAACCUCAUGUGAGGCAGGACUUGAGGCAUAAGCCCUGAAAAGCAUUUUAAAACAAUGGCUGCUGAAAAGUUUGGCCAUAUUGUCAGAUAUUGGCAUCACAGAGUAUGCAAAUUUCCAUACAGGGUGGAACUUUGCGUGGAAUUGGACACUUGUGAAUUGAUUCUAUGUUUACAGCGGGUAAUGGCACCAGUAUAAUAUUUUGACCUGACGUUUGAAAAUGUGAUAUUACCAAAGGAAUUCCCUCGACUAAAUGCAUUUGCUGUAAGCAAGAGGGAGUAAUCUCUUUAUGUUCUUUCACAAUUCUGAUCUUGUCUUGUUUACCCUAAAACACUCGGGUAACAGGUCGGAAGUUAAUCUAAGGCCUUUCCUCUAGGUAUCAGUUAUGAAGGUCCCCUUCAAGUCUACAUCUCUUUUAGUUUACAAUAUAUGAUCAUCAUUAAAAUUCUGUGAAUUUUGUUGCUUUGAUAUUCCUCAUCUCAUCGAUCCUCUUUUUUACUUUUGAUCACUUAGUAUUUUCAUCUUCACGAUAGACAUGAAUUAUUAAGCCCAUGUUUGUCUACCAUUAUUUCAAAACUCUUUUUUUUCUCAAAUUCAUUUUCAAUAGAUUCUCUUAAUAAAUAUUUUGCACAUGAACCCAACAGUUUUUCCUACUUUUUAACUACACAUUCUCCAAAAAUUCAAUAUUCAAAAACUCAUUUUCUCUUAAUAAUGGUAGACAAACAGGGCUAAAUUUCUCUCUGUCAUAUUUACAGGCCCUAGUUUGAGCAGCGUAUCUAGAGAUAGUGAACUCUACAAAGCAAAACUAAGUGAAGCUCUGAUGAAAUAUGAGAUGUACGUACAUAAUUUUACCAUUCUUUUUCCUUCGUCCAAAAAGUAAUAGGCCUAAUUAUACUUACCUCUUAUAUGUUGCUUUCAGUUUCGUAGGUUUGGAGAAACAGCUUAUACCUCUCUUCGGAAAACAUGUAAACUGAUGGUAUUCUUCUCAUAUGUGAGAGACGAAAAUCUGCACAAGAUUUUGAUGGUUCAGAAUCUCUGUGUCUGUAGUUUGACAUGGCAGAUCUUCUGACGUAGCCAGAGAUGUUCAACUUAUGUUCAGUGUGAUAUUUCUAUUUCUAGCUUUGUAAAUUCCCUCUUGGCUGUGUAGUUUCAACUUUCAUCAUCAAUGUGAAUAGGAAUCGAAUAUAUUUUUAUUUCUUUGUUAGUUUAUAUCCAUUAUUUUCUAACCCCUUUUUUUCUCUUACUCAGGUUUAUCAGUUUUUGUGAUUGAGUUGGAUUUGCUCUUACUUUCCUCUUUUACCUUUAUUUUUUUCCCAUUAUAUGAAAAUUGUUAUUGGCUGGGGAGCCCCAUCUUUCUCUCAGACAAGGCUGGAGAUUGCUGAUUCAGUUUUCCUGAAUUUUCUUCUUCUUUGUGAAGAAGAUGAAGACGGAAAAUGCGCCUCUUAUGCUUUGCAACAGAAGAAAAGAAAAUUAUUUGGGAUAUUACCAGCUGUAAAGAAGGAUAUGUAACUGCAGCAUUUUAUUUAUGUAUUUUUAAUGAGUAAUGCUUUUCAACACCAUUGACAUUAAAUGAUAUAUUAAUUUAAUUGUAAUAUCACGUGAUUCAUUUAAUUGAACAGACAUAUCAAGUGUGACCAUAGUGUUAGAUGGUAUUAUUCAUUUCUAUUUGACAUUACAACUUUGUUAAAAGAUGCAGGAUUUAUAUGUUGUUAUGAAAUGCUAUCAUCAAGCUCGACUAGGAGUGAAACUAGAAAAUUAUGUCACAGUGGGCUAAAUCAAAUUAUGCUCUGGGCUAAUAUGUAUAAAAUAAAAGAUUCACAUAUAUAUUCCCCACCCCUAAGCUAAAAUAGGAAAUGGGUGUGCAGCAGAAUGGUUUGACCCAUAGCUGUUCCUUGAAAUUAGUGAAUUUAUGAUAGGUUCAAAAUACUUAUUUCAAGGGUAAAAUUUAUUUAAUGCCCCUAAAACUAGAAGUAUGUGCAAAUCUUUUAAUGUCACAAGUCAAAAUAUCAAGAUUUAGUUCAUUAAGAAAUAAUCAAUGAACUAAAGCAUUAUGUAGAUCAAACCAAUUUAUAAUAUAUAUAGUUUGAACUCAAAUGUAAAAAUACCUCAUUAUGCUAAGGAACUCUGAUACCAAAAGUUGUAAGAAGAGUGACAUAUAUAUACAAGGAGGAUAUAAUCAUGGAGUAUAAAGGCUUUUGUUUAUCAACGGUUUUUGUUGUCGAUUUUAUCCCACAAGUGAACGGUUCGUAACAAGUAGUAAAGUGGACCUUUUGAGUCCGAAUUAUCGUUCCCACGAGGACUAUAUUUUAGUGGUUAAUUUAUUAUUCCUAACUUCUAUUUAAUGAAAAUAAAUAAAUAAAUAGAAAUUGAAUGUGAUUUUUAAAUCUAUCUAAAUACUAAAAAAAAAAAAAUGCAAAUGGAUGCAACAGAAAAUAAGCGAGAAUUCAAAUAAUAAACGGGCAUUAGGGCGGAACAAUUUCACCUAAUGGUUACCUUUAUUUCAUAAAUCAAGAUUCAUACAACCUAAAGUAGUGUUCGGUCAAAUUCUUUUGUGGUAUUUCAACUUACUCCUCUCGAGUUCUCGUUGAGCCUAUUUAAUUAGUUCAAUUUCAUAUUUCUAUGCAAAUUAAAUUUAAUUAAACGCAACAUUAGUUCUAAGAAUUCACACACGACCGCAACAAUCAAUAAAGAUUUCUCUACACGUUAUAUCAAUUUACCGGAUUUUAACAUGCAGUCUAAUCAAAUAAUCCGUAUCUCUACGCAAUCAUUGUUCACAAAUCAUCUAAUUAGUUAUCAAGUAAUUAAAAGCAUUAAGCACGACAUUAAAAUCAACACAUAAAAAAUUAAAGCACUAGAAUCUUAAUUCAACGAAAUAAAGGAAUCCAAUUAAGUUAGAUUGUUCGCCCUAAAUCAAAUUUAGCUAUUCAUAAUAAUGGAAGAAAAACAAGAUAAAAUAAUGGAAGACAUCACCGGGAUUAAUUGACGAAGCGUAAUUAAUUUCCAAAGUGACGCUGCCGUGGUCACGUCUUUGUCAUCUUCGUGUUUGCCUUUUCUUCCUUCCAAAUCUGUUUGUGUAAUUCUCCCUUUUUCCCUCUCAGUCUGCACGUGUAUAUAUGUAUAUAUUUGUCAACCAGCAGCCUCAAUUUUUGCCUCUUUUUGUCUCUUCAAAAGCAGCCCAUGUUUGUGUAAAUAUAUAUGUUGCAGCCCACGUUUUUCUUUAUUUCCUCAAACUGCUGAACUCUCCCAGAAGCUGCCUCUUUUUUUGUGUUUUUAUAUGAUUAAUUCAGCCUCCUUUGUUGUGUGCAUUACAGAGACAGCAAUUCUUUUGGUCAGAGAAUCCAAUUCAGCCGCUUGUAAUGUUCUUCCAAUUAACAAACCAAUUUCCGGCAGCCUCCUCGUUUUUUUUUUCUUUUGCUUGUUCUUGUCUCCUCCUUUGUAGCCGCCGAUUUGUAUAUAUAUUUCAGCAGUUGCCGACCUUGUUUGAUGUUUCCUCCCCAGUCCCCAAGCAGCUCUCGUCUGUGAGAAAAUUGUCCCCCACCCCCCCACCCCCGAUUUUCUUCUCUGUAUGCGUGGAUAUAUAUAUACAUAAAACCUAGCAGUAACCCACUUUUCUUUUCCUUUUUCCGCCCCCGACCAG